UUUUUAAUUUAAAUUCCUCUGGCUUCAAAUAUUUUUAAAUUGCUGUGGUAUUUUGACUAUACAAAGGUAUUGAAAUAAGAUUUUAAUUGAAUGCUAAGAGAAUGGAAGUCCAGAAAAAAACUUUUUUUAAAUUAAAAAUUGAAGUUUUUUUAAUUUGUGCAGAAACAAUUAUUUAUAUUAAAGACAAGAAGACCCUAUGAAUUUAUUAAAUUUUUAUUUAAUAUGUAAUUACUAUUAGAAAAAUUUUGGCUGGGGCGGCUAGAAAAUAUUAUGAACUUUUUAAAAAUAAAAUGAUCCAUUAUUAAUGAUUUUAUGUUAAAUACUCUAGGGAUAACAGCGUUAUAUUUUUUGAUAGAUCAUAUUGACAAAAAAGUUUGCGACCUCGAUGUUGGAUUAGGAUACUUUUUUAAUGAAGAUAUAAAAAAAGAAGUUGUCACGAUC
Molecule: ribosomal RNA, 441 nt
Filed under: Rhipicephalus sanguineus (brown dog tick)
Lineage: Eukaryota; Metazoa; Arthropoda; Arachnida; Ixodida; Ixodidae
Description: partial 16S ribosomal RNA
Source: RNAcentral